AUUAUCGUAACGUGACAUCAUUAAAUGGAAUGUUUUGAAACACCCCAUAAUGAUAAACCAAGUUAAUCAAUAACUUCAAAAAACGAGCGUUUAUUAAACGCUGACACGUUACGACUUAAGUUUGGACCCUAAAAAUAUCAUGUUUCUGAACGCACCCUUUGUUGAACUUAUUUAUUUACUCUAUGGCAUAGCGUCUAUGCUUUUAAAAAGUUAAAUGUCACUGAGAUAUUUUGCGAAUUAUAACCUUACCUACCAAAAAAAAACAAUCUUUCGCCGCAUUUAUUACUAGAUUCAUCUAUAUUUCAGCCAUUACUUUAACAACAAAUUGGAAAAACUAGAUAUGAGUAUGAUCAACUUCGAACAAAUACCUACUUAGAACUUCAAUAUCUAGUUUGUCAAAAUGCGAACUUGGAAUGGAAUUAAAUCUACUAAUAAACACAGAUUACUAUAAAACUGUGCUAAAUUUGAACAACAGACCACCAUAAAAGCAAUAGAUAUCCAGCUAUGCAUAUAACUGGACACCGGACUACAGGAAUUUGCAACUUUGAAAAUCAAACAAUG
Molecule: long non-coding RNA, 561 nt
Organism: Cydia splendana
Lineage: Eukaryota; Metazoa; Arthropoda; Insecta; Lepidoptera; Tortricidae
Exons: 2
Source: RefSeq, a predicted model, not a curated record